CAGUAGCCGCGGUAAUACGAAGGGGGCUAGCGUUGUUCGGAUUUACUGGGCGUAAAGCGCACGUAGGCGGACUUUUAAGUCAGUGGUGAAAUCCCGGGGCUCAACCCCGGAACUGCCUUUGAUACUGGGAGUCUUGAGUUCGAGAGAGGUGAGUGGAAUUGCGAGUGUAGAGGUGAAAUUCGUAGAUAUUCGCAGGAACACCAGUGGCGAAGGCGGCUCACUGGCUCGAUACUGACACUGAUAGACGAAAGCUAGGGGAGCAAAUGGGAUUAGAUACCCCGGUAGUCCCUGUCUCUUAUAC
Molecule: ribosomal RNA, 301 nt
Filed under: uncultured bacterium
Lineage: Bacteria
Description: partial 16S ribosomal RNA
Rfam family: Bacterial small subunit ribosomal RNA
Source: RNAcentral